RNAcentral lists this unclassified non-coding RNA (265 nucleotides) under Hevea brasiliensis (rubber tree). Lineage: Eukaryota; Viridiplantae; Streptophyta; Magnoliopsida; Malpighiales; Euphorbiaceae. The record is from RNAcentral.
AUAAUAAUAAUAAUAAUAAUAGACCAAUUUAAAAGUGGUUAAUUUGGCCACUAAAAGGAAGAAGCUUCAAGAAUCACAUAGGGAAGGGGAGAUGAGGGACACCAUGCUCAAAUCAGCCAAAUUUGGGUUAAAAUCGACCAUCCCCAACCAAAUUUUGCCAUUCUUUUUCCCACAAAACCUUCUCCCUUUCCUUUCUUUCUACAUAAUCAGUUGAGUUGCUGAAAUUUCCACCAGAAAACACAAAAUGAAGGAAGAAAAACAGGGG